RNAcentral lists this small RNA (106 nucleotides) under Marmota monax (woodchuck). The record is from RNAcentral. Lineage: Eukaryota; Metazoa; Chordata; Mammalia; Rodentia; Sciuridae.
GCUGGAUGCGGUGGUGCUCGCUGUAAUCCCAGGGACUUGGGAGGCUGAGGCAGGAGGAUCACAAGUUUGAGGCCAGCCUUGGCAAAUUAAUGAGACCCUGUCUCAA